CCUACGGGAGGCUGCAGUCGAGAAUCAUUCACAAUGGGGGAAACCCUGAUGGUGCGACGCCGCGUGGGGGAAUGAAGGUCUUCGGAUUGUAAACCCCUGUCAUGUGGGAGCAAAUUAAAAAGAUAGUACCACAAGAGGAAGAGACGACUAACUCUGUGCCAGCAGCCGCGGUAAUACAGAGGUCUCAAGCGUUGUUCGGAAUCACUGGGCGUAAAGCGUGCGUAGGCUGUGUCGUAAGUAGGGUGUGAAAGGCGCGGGCUCAACCCGCGGACGGCACAUGAUACUGCGAGACUAGAGUAGUGGAGGGGGAACCGGAAUUCGCGGUGGAGCAGUGAAAUGCGUAGAUAUCGAGAGGAACACUCGUGGCGAAGGCGGGUUCCUGGACAUUAACUGACGCUGAGGCACGAAGGCGAGGGGAGCGAAAGGGAUUAGAUACCCUUGUAGUC
RNAcentral lists this ribosomal RNA (446 nucleotides) under uncultured bacterium. RNAcentral describes it as "partial 16S ribosomal RNA". It matches the Rfam family "Bacterial small subunit ribosomal RNA", at positions 338 to 795 of the family's 1533-position model. The record is from RNAcentral.